AGUGAACGCUGGCGGUAGGCCUAACACAUGCAAGUCGAACGGCAGCACAGUAAGAGCUUGCUCUUACGGGUGGCGAGUGGCGGACGGGUGAGGAAUACAUCGGAAUCUACUUUUUCGUGGGGGUUAACGUAGGGAAACUUACGCUAAUACCGCAUACGCCCUACGGGUGAAAGCAUGGGAUCUUCGGACCUUGCGCGAUUGAAUGAGCCGAUGUCGGAUUAGCUAGUUGGCGGGGUAAAGGCCCACCAAGGCGACGAUCCGUAGCUGGUCUGAGAGGAUGAUCAGCCACACUGGAACUGAGACACGGUCCAGACUCCUACGGGAGGCAGCAGUGGGGAAUAUUGGACAAUGGGCGCAAGCCUGACCCAGCCAUACCGCGUGGGUGAAGAAGGCCUUCGGGUUGUAAAGCCCUUUUGUUGGGAAAGAAAAGCAGCAGGUUAAUACCCCGCUGUUCUGACGGUACCCAAAGAAUAAGCACCGGCUAACUUCGUG
Molecule: ribosomal RNA, 492 nt
Filed under: uncultured bacterium
Lineage: Bacteria
Description: partial 16S ribosomal RNA
Rfam family: Bacterial small subunit ribosomal RNA
Source: RNAcentral